This 406-nucleotide ribosomal RNA is filed under the name uncultured bacterium. RNAcentral's name for it is "partial 16S ribosomal RNA". It matches the Rfam family "Bacterial small subunit ribosomal RNA", at positions 30 to 526 of the family's 1533-position model. The record is from RNAcentral.
AUUGAACGCUGGCGGCAGGCCUAACACAUGCAAGUCGAACGAGUGGCGGACGGGUGAGUAAUGUCUGGGCACCUGCCUGAUGGCGGGGGCUAACUACUGUAAACGGUAGCUAAUACCGCAUACCAUCAGAUGUGCCCACAUGGGAUUAGCUAGUUGGUGGGGUAACGGCGCACCAAGGGGACGAUCCCUAGCUGGUCUGAGAGGAUGACAAGCCACACUGGAACUGAGACACGGUCCAGACUCCUACGGGAGGCAGCAGUGGGGAAUAUUGCACAAUGGGCGCAAGCCUGAUGCAGCCAUGCCGCGUGUAUGAAGAAGGCCUUCGGGUGGUAAAGUACUUUCGGCGGAGAGGCGUUACCCGCAGAAGAAGCAACGGCUAACUACGUGCCAGCAGCCGCGGUAAUAA